ACUUGGAUAACCGUAGUAAUUCUAGAGCUAAUACAUGCAUUAAAUCUCGACUAUUAUGGAAGAGAUGUAUUUAUUAGAUAUCAACCAACCCUCUUCGGAGGUUUUAGGUGAGUCAUAAUAACUUUGCGAAUCGCAGCGACAUUUGUCGGCGAUGAAUCAUUCAAGUUUCUGCCCUAUCAGCUUUCGAUGGUAGUGUAUUGGACUACCAUGGCGGUGACGGGUAACGGAGAAUUAGGGUUCGAUUCCGGAGAGGGAGCCUGAGAGAUGGCUACCACAUCCAAGGAAGGCAGCAGGCGCGUAAAUUACCCAAUCCCAAUUCGGGGAGGUAGUGACAAUAAAUAUCAAUGCGGGGCCCUUCGGGUCUUGCAAUUGGAAUGAGUACAAUUUAAAUCCCUUAACGAGGAUCCAUU
Molecule: ribosomal RNA, 410 nt
Filed under: uncultured picoeukaryote
Lineage: Eukaryota
Description: SSU rRNA
Rfam family: Eukaryotic small subunit ribosomal RNA
Source: RNAcentral